RNAcentral lists this long non-coding RNA (34739 nucleotides) under Gossypium barbadense (sea-island cotton). RNAcentral describes it as "long non-coding RNA (GBAR_LNC002695)". Lineage: Eukaryota; Viridiplantae; Streptophyta; Magnoliopsida; Malvales; Malvaceae. The record is from RNAcentral.
AAAACUAGGAGAAAGGCCGAAUGCAAUGGAAAGAAUAGAAUUAGAUGAAGCAAGGCUACAAGGGCAAGCAGAGAUAUGGCGUUACAUGUUCAGCUUUGCAGAUUCUAUGGCGCUUAAGUCUGCCGUGAAGCUUCGCAUAGCUGACAUAAUAUACUCUUAUGGUGGCGCGGCCACUUUGUCGCAAAUAGCUUCCUGCAUUAAUGAUGGCCUUACUUCGCCAGAUAUCACCACCCUUGCUCGCAUAAUGGGACUGCUUGUUCGCUGAAAGAUUUUCACUAUCCACUAUCCUGCAGACGGUAGAGAUCCCUUGUACGACUUAACUCACUCAUUGAGAUGGCUUCUACAUGACUCGGAGCAAACCCUGGCACCUAUGGUACUAAUGGAGAACCAUCCAUGGCAAAUGGCUCCUUGGCGCUACUUCAAUCAGUGCGUGAAAGAAGGUGGCGUUACCUUCAAGAAAGCUCAUGGAUGUGAAAUAUGGGAUUGAGCAUCGAGAAAUCCUGAUUUCAACAAGCUUUUUAACGAUGGCCUGGCUUGUACAUCCAAGGUCGUCACCAGUGUAAUCCUGUCAGGUUACAAACAAGGGUUCAACUCCAUUGGAUCAUUGGUUGAUGAUAGAGGUGGGACUAGAGGCUUAAUAUCAGAGAUCGUCAAAACAUAUCCACAAAUCAAAGUUAACAACUUUGAUUUGUGGAUAUGCUUUGACGAUCUCUGAUUUGCCGUAUGUUAUCUCGAUGGCACCGGCAUACAAUAGGGUCUCCCAUAUUGGUGGUGACAUGUUUCAUGCCAUUCCAAAUGCCGAUGCAAUCAUUAUGAAGGUAUUUGCUUAAAUCAUGAAUUUAAAUUGAUUUUUCAUAGAGUAUAGCAUCAAGAAGUUUUUUACACAAUUAUCGAUUUUAUUUCUUGUAAUUGUGAGAGUGAAAAUACAAAAUUACACUCAGGCUAUUAAUAAUUGAAUCUAAAUUUUAAAAUUUUAAAAAUAAAAUGACCAAAUUCCAUUAAAUAAAAAUAUAAAGAUUAAAUUUUAAUUUUCAAAAAUUAGAUGAUAGGGCAACAAACCUUAUCCUCUCUAUGGUUCAGUUUUUAUAUUGCAUUCAUCUUAUUUUAUAUAAAAUAUAAAAUUGGAAGGGGCGGUCUCAGGACCCAUUUCAUACCGGGAAAGAAGCAAGGGAAGGACACAUACACACCAUAUCACAAACAAAAAUUAGUCAACUAUUUUUUUUUCAAAAGUAAAAUUUAUACUUUUACAUUAUUUAAAACUUUAAUCUGUUUCAAAAUAAAUUAUUUAAAAAUUUAUUUCUAAAAUUAAAAAUUUUAAAAAUAAAACUUUAAUUCUAAAAAUCAUUUAAAAUUGAAAUUUUAAAUAUUUUAAAAAAAUUAAAAGUUUAUUUAUAAAAUUAAAAAAUAUUAGAUACAUAUUAUCUCUAUAAUUAUAUAGAUCUUUAUUUCUAAAAUUAAAAAAAAAUCAAUAAAAAUAUUUAAAAAUUUAUUCCUAAAAUUAAAAUUAAAAAAUAUUUUUUAUAAUUACGAAAAGGGAAUAGGGUUACUUAGAAUUGAACCCAAAACUCUCAUACUUAAAACAUAGUACUCUUGUCAUUAAGCUAAAAGAUUAUCGACAAUUAAAUUAAAAUUAUCUAUAUAAUAUAUAUUUAAUUUUUUUAAUCAUCAAUUAUAUUUAUUAUAAUAAUUUUAUCUUUGAAUUUUUUUAUAAUUAAAUUAUAAAUCAUAUGCAUAAUAUUACAAAUAUAUUAUCUUUUAAAAAUUGAAGUAUAGUUUUUAAGUUGAUUAUAUGUUCCAAUAAUUUUAAUUAAUAUGUGGUUAUUUAAAUAAUAAUUGUUGAAACCUUUUUUUUUGAAAGAUCGACUUAUAUUUUGAAAACGAAGAUGGAGUCGCCACGAAUCGCUUUUAGGAAGUGUGAUCGGGUCAUCUCGUAAUUUGAUCAUUUUAAUAAGAGGUUUGAUUUAUUAAAACAAUAUUUUUCGGUUUACAAAAAUCCAGAAAACGAGUUCGGGAGUCAGUUACGCACGAGGAAGGAUUAGCACCCUUGUUAUGUCUAAAAUUGAUACAUAAUUGAUUACUUGAUGCCUUUAGUGUCGAAAAUUAAAAAUUUGAAGAGAUUUUAGAAUACGACCCUUUAUUAAGACAUUACUAAAUUAAUUUUCAUGAAAAGGGGCUUAUUUCAAGUUAAUCGAGAAGAAAGGAUCCUGUCCCGUAAGUUAAGACAUAAUGCCUUAGAUCCUAAAGAACAAAAAUGAACGCCAUUUAAUCAUCACUUUAAAUCCCGUUUUUAUUUUAUUUGAAAGUAAAUAUUCGACUAUCUUGGUUUUAGAAAGAAGCCAUAUUUCGUAAGUUAAGAACACGACUUUUCUAAGUCCAAAAUAAUAACAUUACUUUGAUUUAAAAAAUUUCCUUUUUUGUGCCUUGUGCAAAGACGAAUGCAAUAUUUAAAAUAAUAUAUAUUUAGCUUAUUCGGGCAUAGUAUAAAUAUGGGUAAGUAUAUUUAAACACAACUCGUGGAAUUGUUAUAACAAAAUAAAAUAAAAAGGGAAAGGUAUAAAAAUGAAAUGAUGAUGUGUGAAAAAAUAAAAAUACCAUGCUAGUAAAUGACGAUGAUAUAAUUAUAAUAAUAAAAUACCAAUUAACAAUGGCAAUAAUCAUAUUAUAAUUACUAAUUGUAAUACUAAUUAAAUAAAAAUAUAAAAAAUAAAAAAAUAAAUAAUAAUGAAAAAUAAAUAACAAUAAUAAUAAUGAGAAUAAUAAUAAUAAUGACAAAAUGUGCAAAAUAAAAAUAUAAAGAACACUAUAAACUUUAAAUACAAAAAGAAUAAAGGAAUCAAUGAAUAAAUAAAUACGCAAAUAAAUAAAUAAAUAAAAACUUUCAUAAAAAUUUGAAAUUAAAUAAAACAAGGACUGAAUCAGAAUGAAAAUGAAGUUAAAAGUAUAAAUUAUGAUAAAAUAAGUAAAUAAAGACUAAAAUGAAAAGCACGAAAACACAUAAGGACUAAAUGCGAAAUAAUCCCAACCCCUAGGACAUGCGUCCUUUCUCCAAGAGAUCAGAGAACCGAGGACUUAAUUGAAAACGUGAUAAAACUGAAUGGCGAAAUUACUAAAAAUAAAUAAUAGCAAAAUUAGGAUUAAAUUAAAACAACUCAAAAAGUGGAAGGAGUAAAGUUGAAAUAUCCCCUUUAAGGAAAAAAUAUGCGAAUCCUGCUAGGUUGGGUUGGAUCAGUUCAAGUUUGGCCCAAAAACGACGUCGUUUUGGGGCGUUUCAGGCAAUCCCAAAACGGUGCCGUUUUGAUGCCUUAUUUAAACCAAAACUUUCCAAAAAAAACUCAUUUCAGCCCAUUUUUUUAAAAAGUUCUAAAAAAGCUUCCCUUUUUUCUCUGAAUUCGCCUCUGCUCCGACCAUAGGCACCGUCGUCGUCCACCGCCUCCAGUGGCAAGAAAAUUUUAAAAAAAAGGUAAGCAGCUUUUAGGAAUCCAAAUUUGGGGUUGGUUUUUCUAGAAACUAGCCAAAAUUUGCCAUAAAAGGUAAGGAACCUUUCGGUUUUAGGGUUCUAAAAAACUUUUCAACGUAAAAGGUGGUCACCAUUCAUUGGCGGUGACAACCUCAGCUGUUCACAGUGGUAGAAGACCGAACGCCAGGUGAGUCUUCUCCUUUCAUUUCCCUUUCUUAUUUUAUAUAUAAAUAUAAAUAAUAGUUUAAAAAAAUAAAGGAUCACCUUUGAAAUUUUGAUUCUGUAUUUCGAUUUUUUUUUGUAUUUUGAUUGCCCUCUGUGUAUCCUCCUCUGUAAACAAUGAUACAUUGGGUUCGAAUUUUAUAGCCAAGUAAUACAUAUUAUUUUGUUUGCUACUAUUCUUGCUAUUUCCUUUGCUCUGUUUUGCAUCCCUUUUUUGCAGGUGCUGGGGUCAACAGAGAUGAUCUUGCCAUUCUGGUGCAAUGCGGCCAAGGCAUCAGGCCUUGGGCGGCGUGCACUCUGCAGGGGCACGUGGGUGGCAGCAGUGCGGCUGGAGAGGGAUUUAGAAACCCUAGGGUUUUUGAAUUAGUUUAGGUUAUUGGGCUAAUGGGCCUUUUUUGUAUUUUGGGCUUGUACUUUUGUUAUUUGGGCCUAUAAUUUUGUUAAUGGACUAUUAUUUAUUAAGGCCUGGUCAAAUUUGGGCAUUACAAUAAUAAUUUUAAAAAAACACAUGGGGAAUAUGGGAUAGAAAACGAAUUACUUAAACAUAAAACAAUUCUAAUAAAAAGAGUUUAAAAACAAAAAUUGAAUUCAACCAUGAGAUCAUCUUUCUCAAACUUAUCUUUCUUAGAAAUAAGUUGUCGAAACCAUAAUUUCAUUUUGAAAACGGAGUCGACUUUUAGUUUGAAAACGAAAAUGGGAGUCGCCACCAAUCUUUUUUUGUGAGGUGUGAUCGAGUCACAUUGUGAUUGAUCGUUUUAAUAAAGCGUUUUGAUUUAUUAAAGCAACAAUUUUGGUCUACGAAAUUUGAGAAAACGGGUUCGGGAGUCUGUUACGUACGAGAAAGGAUUAGCAGCCUCGUAAUGCCCGAAAAUUGGUACUUAAUUGAUUAAUUAAUGUCUUAACGUCGAAAGUUGAAAAAUUCGAAAAGAAUUUAAAAUACAAUCCUCUUUUUUAUUAAUAUUAUUUUUAAGAAAAAAUUGCUUGAAUAAAUUGAAACGAACAUCAAAGAACUUCUCGUCUCAAGAUAACAAAAUGUCACAUCCCGUAAGUUAGGAUACGACAUUUGAACCCUCGAAAAUAAGCCUGCCUUUAAAUUGUUUUAUUUUAAAAUUCGUACUUUGAUUUUUAAAAGGGAAUUCGAUUGUUUAGACCCAACGAGGAAAAUCGAAACCCCGUAAGUUAGGGCACAGCCUUCUCGAAUUUUUAAACGCAAAAUAUUGUCUUUAUUCAAAAUUCACAUAUUUUAAAAUUUAAAAGGAUAUUCGGUUAUUUAGGUUUAACGAGGAAAUAGAAACCCCAUAAGUUAGGGUAUGAUUUCUAGAAAUUUUAAAUUUAGGGUACGAUUUCUAGAAAUUUUAAAUACAAAAUAUCGUCUUUAUUUUCAAGAUUAUCCUUUUUUACGAAUUUGGGUAAAAAUUAAUAUAAUAUAAAAAUGUGCUUCAUUUAUUCGAGUAUGACUAAAACGUAAAAAUUUAAUAAACCAAUAAAGCAUAAAAAAAUGAUAAAAAUCACAUCAAUAAUAUGCAUAAUAGAAAAAUAUUAAUAAAGAAAAAAGAUAAAUGACAAUAAUAUCAAGACACUAGAAGAGAGGCAAUAAAGGCCAAGAAUAAAAUAAAGUAAGAUAAAAUAAAUAAAAUAAAAUGAAGGUUCAUUGAGUACAAAUAUAAAGAAAUAAAGAGAAAACAAAAAAGAGAUAGUAAAUAAAUAAAUAAAAUAAACGAAACACAAAAAAUUAAAAUAAAAAAGGAAACCUCAACAGAGUUAAAAGGGAUUAAAAUGUUAUUGAAAUAAAAUUAAGGUUUCAAGUUCAAAUGAAAUAGAUUUAUAAAUAGAAUAGGGUUAGAAUUAUAAUGAAAUAAAUGUAAAAGGACUAAAUUGAAUUUUAAUAAGAAUUUUGAGUAAAAAUUAAAAAGGAAAAUAGAGCAAAGGGCCAUAUUGAGAAACGCGAAUAAUAAGGAGGGACCAAAUGGGAGAUUUUCCCUUUUCCUCCAAAACGGUGCCGUUCAAAUGGACUAUAUUGACCCCCAAAUAAAAUUCAAAGGCAUAAUUUAAAAUAAAAAAACUGGAUAUUAAAAACAGAAAAAGGCGGAAGGACCUUCAUCAUAAAUAACCCAAGGGUUGAAAAUACGCAGAUCCCCUGGUGGGUCGGGUCGCACGCGUGGGUCAGGGGAUUAAACGACACCGUUUUGGGGCUAUUGCUCUCAGCCUCAAACGACGUUGUUCCAUUAGCUUAUAAAAGGAAAUUUUUUUCCUAAAACUUUCAAUCUGCUCCCUUUAAAAAAAACACUUUCAAAACUCUUUUUCUCUCAACUAUCUCAACCUCUCCUUUGAAUCUGACCAGGAUGCCGGUGAGUUCGCGCGGUGGCUCCGUCGCAGCUCCGCCGCGGCGGUAAUAAAAAAGGGUUUAAAAUUAAAAUCCCUCUUUUUUUCUUUAAAUACUCACCCGAUUUGGGUAUUUCUAAACUGAAAACAAAGAUGAAAAGAGAGGGGAAAAUGAAAAUACCUUUCGGCCUCCCUGUUUCCCUUGUUAAACGAAUCCCGAACGGAACCCUAAAGGGUUUCCACAGCUUUCGUGAACAGAGGGAUCCUCCGAUGAUGGCGAAGUAUAGAGAAUAAGGUAAGUUUUUUAUUUGCAAAAAUGAAAUACAUAAGGAAAAUCACCUUUUUAAUUACUUUUCUGUUUUUUGAUUGCUAUAUUCGUGUCCAUGUGUAAAAAAAAAUUCAUUGACAAUCUCUAGCUUUUUAUAGCCGAAAACAUUACAACAAAAUUAUCUGUUUUUGCUACUGUUCUUUGGCUAUGCUGUUGCAUUUGUUUUCUUUGCAAGUACAGAAGCAACGUGGCAGGGGCAGCUGGAGGCCGUACACGGGAGCAACGGUGCACAUAGCAACUAGGGUUUUAGUUUCUUGGCUAUGAAUGUUUUGGUUUUGGGCCACUUGGGCCUUGUGAUUUUUGGGUUUAAAUUUCGGGCUUGUAUUUUGUUGUUGGGCUGUGGACUAUUGUAAUUUGGGUUAUAAUUUUAGACUUGUAACAAAAACUUGGACUCUUGAUUAGUUUUUUUUAUUUAUGUUUUUAUUAGUUUUUUGGUUAUUUGGCCCCGGGCAAAUUUGGCCCAUUACAGCUGCCCCUCUUUGCUCAUUUUCGUGUAAUGAGAAUAGAGCAAAGACUUUAAAAAGGGUCAAUUUUACUGGGUCUUGCCAAAUCUUUGACUUUGGUGUUUCUUUUCUUAAAGUAGCCUCGUUCCAACCCAUUGCAACUUAAGGGGUAUAAGAAUUGUCGCUUCAAUCUACUUCGCUGUAACUUUCGGGGGCUAGACUUGUAGCUUUAAUCUAUUCCACUGCAACUUUAGGGAAAUAAGAUUCACUAUCUUCAGUCUAUUUCACUGCAACUUUAGGGAGAUGAGGUUAAUGGUUACAAUCUGCUCCACUACAAAUUUAGGGAGAUGAGAUUUGUAUCUUCAAUCUACUCCACUGUAACUUCAGGGAGAUAAUACUCACUAUCUUCAGUCUGCUCUACUGCAACUUCAGGGAGAUAAGGCUGGUGGCUUCAGUCUGCUCCACUGCAACUUCAGGAAGAUAAGAUUCGUCAUAAUUUGUAGCUUUAAUCUGUUCCACUACAACUUCAAGGAAAUGAGAUUCGCUAUCUUCAGUCUACUCCGCUGUAACUUUAACGAGAUAAGGCUAGUGGCUUCAAUCUGCUCCAUUGCAACUUUAAGAAGAUAAGAUUCGUCAUCUUCGAUCUUCUCCACUACAACUUCAAGGAGAUAAGAUCUACAACUUCAAUCUGCUCCACUGCUACUUCAGGGAGAUGAGAUUUGUGGAUUCACCGAUCUUGUUACAUCGUCCUCUGGGGGACAUGAUCUGUAGAAUUGAUUUAAUGGGCCUAUGUUUAUGCCAAGUGCUGAGGAUAUUAUGAUCAAAAUGAAUCAAAUACUCUUAUUUUAAUGUGUACGAAUGAUAUUUACAUGAAUGCAGCAUGUCACUUUUCGAGAAUGAUCCUCUUUUAAUGCUUAGGUUGUUAUUGCUCGUUGUUCAUCAAGGUUUGAUAUGCUACCAUGCCUUCUUGUUUAGCUGGUAUCCUUGACAGAAGAUUUGAAGAAAUAGUCAUAAUUUAGACUAUUCUUUCUCAGAUGUUUCCAACUCUGGAAUUUGGUUAGUUCUGACUAGUGGUCCUGUUUCAAGUCCUUAUACUAUUUAGAAACUUUUCAAAGUAAUAUGCAGAACUUCUUUUAUGUGAAUAUUAUAAGUCCAAUAAUCGUUGUUUCAAUAAAAAAAUGCUUGAAAAAGAUUAUCACAAUCGACAAGAUUAGAUUUUAUUGUGAGCAAUGCUCAAAAUGGAUAAAUUAAUCAAGAUAGAAAAUUUUGCUAAAGUACAAAAUGAAUAAGAUGAAAAAUAGGUGCCCCAGAUAUCGCAAUGUGAGCUUCUCUAUUCAAACUUCUCAAAGACCAUUUCGAGUUAGAUAUGUGUAUAGGAGAUCUCAAGUAUUUUGUUGAUACCCCAAGAUGUAACGUUCCUCCUUCUUGUUAACUCUGAGAGGACAAAACUACUACAUGCCCCAUCUUCGAUCAAAAUUUGAGCCGCCCUUUUUCGAGUUUUCAACUCAAGAUCCCUUUGGUCUCAAGGCGCCUUUUGCGGGUUUUCGUCUUGGCCUCUCCCUUUUUUUUUAGGUCUCAAAGUGCCCUUUGCGAGUUUUCGCAUUUGCCUUCCCCUUUUUGGGUGAAGUAUUUCUUGACUAAAUCCGAAUUUACAGGAUUAGGCAAGUUUUUUCCAUCCAUCUCGGUCAAAAUCAGUGCUCCUCUGAAAAAGACUUUUUGUACCACAUAAGGUCCUUCCCAGUUUGGCAUCCAUUUCCCUUUAAAAUUCUUUGUAUCGAAGGGAUCUUUUUCAAUACUAGAUCCCCCUCAUGGAAUUCUCUAGGGUGAACCUUUUUGUUAUAAGCUUGCAUUAUCCAUUUUUGGUACAUCUGACCACGACGGAUAGCCCUUAGCCUCUUUUCUUCAAUCAAAUUCAACUGAUCGUAUCGAGACUAGAUCCAUUCUACUUCAUCUAGCUUUACCUUUGACAGAACUCAGAGGGAUGGAAUCUCAACUCCAAUGGGCAAAAUUGUCUCCAUUUCGUAGACCAAAGAGAAAUGUGUUGCCCUGGUGGAGGUCUUGACAGACGUUCGAUAAGCAUAGAGGGCGAAUGGUAACUUCUCAUGCCAAUCUUUAUAGGUUUGCCCCAUUCAUAUUCGAGUGAUACGGUGUCGAGUUGUGGUAUCUGAUCUUGAAUUGACUAUAGACCUUCGCUAUCGUACUAUUGUUCAAGUUCAGUGCAUUGUCAGAUAUGAUCCUCUCCGGCAUUCCAUAUCGAUAUAUGAUAUUCUUUUUCAGGAAUUUGCUAACUAUCAAGUUUGUAACAUUGGCAUAUGAAGCAACUUUUACCCAUUUGGUGAAGUAGUCGAUAACCACAAAGAUGAAUCGAUGCCCAUUGGAAGCUUUUGGUGAUAUUGGCCCAAUCAUAUCCAUGCCCCACAUAGAGAAAGGCCAUGGAGAAGUCAUAACAUGAAAAGGUGAAUGAGGCACAUGAAUUUUGUCUCCAUAAAUUUGGCACUUAUGACAUCUCUUAGCAUAAUUAAUGCAAUCCCCUUCCAUGGUGGACCAAUAAUACCCGAAUUUUAUAAUUUGCCUAGCCAUUGUAAAGCCAUUAGUGUUUGUCUCGCAGACGCCCUCAUGGACUUCUUUCAAGAUUUUCUUAGCCUCGACAGCGUCCAUACAUCUUAAUAGCACAUGAUCUUUUCUUCUUUUGUAUAAGAUCUCCCCAUCUAAAACAUAGUCACAGGCUAGUCUUCUAAAUGUCCUUUUAUCAUUCUCAGUUGCUUGGUCAGGGUAUUCACGAUUUUUCACAUAUCACAGUAUAUCGUGGUACCAAAGAUGCUCAUCUUUUUCUUCUUCUUUGAAGUUCCAGUAGUGGGCCGGAAUUUUAUAAAUACUCAUCUGGAAAGUUUUAUGUCCUCUUAUUUGUUCACUUUGAUCAUGGAAGCUAAAGUAGCCAAUGCGUCAGCCAUUUGGUUCUUAUAUCGUGGGAGGUAGCAGAAGGUGACGUCAUCAAAAUCCUCAAUUAACUCCAAAACUAACUUUCAGUAAUUGAUCAAUUUGGGUUCUCUUGUCUCCCAUUCACCUUUGAGCUGAUAGAUUACUAGUGCAGAGUCCCCAUAUACCUCUAGCACUUUGAUUCUGCAUUCUAUGGCUGCGCGGAUACCCAUGAUGCAUGUUUCAUAUUCUGCAUGUUAUUCGUACAAUCAAAAUCCAGUUUACUAGUAAAGGGAUAAUGAUAUCCGUUUGGGCAUACCAAGACUACUCCGAUUCCAUUACCCAUAGCAUUUGAGACUCCAUCAAAAUUUAGUUUCCAAGGACGACCUUCUUGAGAACCUUCUUCAGUGGUUGCAAUAUACAUUAGAUCUUCAUUUGGGAAAUCAAAGUUCAAGGGCUCAUAAUCUUCCAAAGCUCUACUAGCCAGAAAAUCUACUAUUGCACUCCCUUUUACAGCUUUCUAGUUCACAUAGACUAUAUCAAAUUCAGAGAGCAGAAUUUUCCAUUGGGCCAUCCUUCCAUUCAAAGCUGUUGACUCUAUCAUGUACUUCAGCGAGUCCAGUUUUGAGAUAAGCCAAGUUGUAUGAUACAGCAUGUACUGUCUUAGUCUUCGGGUCAUCCAAAUUAAGGCACAACACAAGUUCUCAAUCGGUGAGUAUCUUGUCUCACACUAAGUUAACUUUUUACUGAGGUAGUAUAUCGCUCUUUCUUUCUUUCUUGACUCAUCAUGUUGGCCUAGUACGCAUCCCAUGGAAUUCUCAUAUACCACCAAAUACAGUAUCAAUUGCUUAUCUGGGUUGGGUGGCAUCAGUACCAGGGCAUUAGAUAAGUACUGUUAGACUUUGUCGAAAGUCUUUUGGCAUUCCUCAUCCCAUACACCUAGGUUGUGUUUCUUAACGAGACGAAAUAUGGGGUCACAUUUCUCGAUUAGUUGUGAGAUGAACCAAGUGAUGUAACUUAGUCUUCUAAGGAAACCUUGAACUUAUUUUUGAGUAUGUGGCGAAGGUAGCUCUUGUAUGGCCUUGACUUUCUCUGGGUCGAUCUCAAUCCCUUUUUCAUUGACUACAAAUCCUAGCAGCUUUUCGGACUUGGCUCCAAAAGUACACUUUGCUAGAUUGAGCUUUAGCUGGAAUUUUCUCAACCUUAAGAAUAAUUUCCUCAAGACUUGAACGUGCUCCUUCUCUGUUCGGGAUUUUGCGAUCAUAUCAUUAACUUACACUUCGAUUUCUUUGUUCAUGAUAUCAUGGAACAAGGUUACCAUGGCUCUUUGAUACGUUGCUCUGGCAUUUUUCAGUCCAAAUGGCAUCAUUUUAUAGCAGAAAGUUCCCCACACGGUUAUGAACGUGGUCUUCUCCAUGUCUUCAGGAUGCAUCUUAAUCUGGUUGUAUCAGGGAAAACCAUCCAUGAAAGAGAACAGUGAGUGACCUGCCGUAUUGUCCACUAGGGUGUCAAUAUGAGGUAGUGGGAAAUUAUCUUUCGAGCUGGCUUUAUUCAAAUCUCUGUAAUCUACAUACAUUCGUACAUUUCCAUCUUUUUUAGGUACAAGGACGAUGUUGGCUUCCAUUCUGAAUAUUUGACCACCUUUAAAAAUCCAGCGUUGAAUUAUUUUUUGAGCUCUUCUUUUAUUUUUAGCAGAACAUCAGGUCUCCUCCUUCAGAGCUUCUGUUGUACUGACUAACUCUUGGUAGGACCACGCGAAGACAUCUUUGAAUUCUUGGAGUAACUCAAUGAGGUCUCGCUCUGUCUCUACGGUGAUACAAGUUCCAAUCUUCACCUCUUUUUCCUCUCCUAAGCUCACAAUUUCCACUGACUCUUUGUGAGGUAGGAUUUGAUUUGUUUUUCAUCUUGCUCUACCAUCCUCAACAAAUCAAGAGAUAGGUCACUUCCUCGGUCAUUUUCAAAAUCCUGAGAAUCCUCCACACACAUAUCUUGCUCAAAAGGAGACUUUGAGUCAUUAGCAGCGUCGCUCAUAUCAUUGAUAUCUAGGGGCCUGUUAUGGGGAUGAAGGAAGAUACAAAGAACCAAAAGAAUCUAAGAAUAAUUAUUUGCAUGGUAUGAAUGAAGAACAAAAGAAUAUUUGUAAGAAGGUCCAUAGGACCAAAGAAUCUAAGAACAAUUAUUUGUAUAAUAUGAUUAUGAAUUAAAUGGAAAGAAUGAAAGAAUAUUUGCUCAAAAAGAUAGCAAAGAUGCAUUUCAUUGAAAUAACGUUUUUGGACAUAAGCCUAUUUCAAAAAAGAUUCUUAUUACUCCUGGGCCUAAAGUAAUAAGUGUGUUUUGGACAUUACUCUGAAUUAGCUCUAAAAAUAUAGGAAUCUCUUCCGCAGUCCAGAUGUCAGAACACUUCCAGGUACGUAAGGGCAAAUGCUCGACAAAUUCUCUUCUUCGGUUCUUUUUCUGAUAUGGCGUUGAUGUUUAGGUUUUCCAACAUUUCUGUAACGCCCCUAACCCAAAUCCGUCACCGGAAUAGAGUUACGGAGCAAUACCGGAGUUACUGAUUCAUUUAUCAGAUAUUUCAUUAAUCCGAUAUCUUUUCUUUUCCACGUUCAAGUCUCGUAUUCAAGUCAUCCAGAUCUUUAUAAAGAAAUUUGAUCGUCGUUUUCAUUUAUUUCAUGUUAUAAUACAUUCAACUAAUGCUCUAAACAAAAUUAUCAUUUUACCCUUAAACUUUUAAUUAAUGACGAUUUCAUCCUUAGGUUAAAAUAAAAUAAAAUUAUUACAAUUUAAUCCUUAUUUCCAGCCGUUAUUCUCACACAAAUUGAUAACAACCUAUGAAUUCUAUAAAAUGUCAGAAUUUUCCAUAAUUUCAACACUUUUCAAUUUAAUCCUUAAAACAAGUUUUUCCCUGAUAUUGAGCUAAAUUAAUAAUUUCAUUCAAUUUUGUAAUUUAAAUAAUAAAAUAAUUCAUUUAUGCAAAUUGGUCAUUUCUAACAUUUUUUUACAAAAUUGCCCUUAAAAUUUUACUUUUAUUCAAUUUAGUCCAUAAGCCUAAAACAUACAAAUUAGCCAUGCUAGCUGAAUAUUCAUACAUAUUUUCCUCCUCCUCCUCUCCAUUCCACAUCCUUAAUUUAUAUAACAUGCAACAAGUAACAUUAUCAAUAAUUUCACUAUUUACUUAUGUAUAUUCAAAACUGUCCAUUUGCAUCAUAGUCACUAAAUUAUUUAUAUCUUAAGCUACAGAACUCGAAAUUAAGACCCGCUAAUUUUCCUUGAAACUAGGCUUACUUAUCUUAUGACCAUAAAAUUUUCAGAAUUUUUGGUUUAGCCAAUAAGUAUAGUUUAUUCUUUAAAGUUGCCCCUGUUCUGCUGCCUGACAGUUCCGACCCUUCUUCACUAAGAAUUAAUUAUCUCAUCGUACGAGAUUCGGAUGAUGUUCCCGCUUAUUUAUAUUGAAAAUAGACUGUUUAAGGAUUUUAAACAUAUAAAUUUAAUUCCUUAAUUAUUUUUCUCCAAUUUUUGAUGAUUUUCCAAAUUUAGAAUAGGGGAACCCGAAAUCAUUCUGACAUUGUCUCACAAAACUUAUUAUAUCUCAUGAUUUACAAUUCCAUUGCUUACACCGUUUCUUCUAUAAGAAACUAGACUCAAUAAGCUUUAAUUUCAUAUUUUAUUCAUCCUCUAAUUAAAUUUAUACAAUUUUUGGAGAUUUUUCAAAGUUAGACUAUUGCUGCUGUCCAAAACUGUUUUAGUGCAAAAUGUUGAUUUUUAUUUUGCCCCAAAUUUCACAAUUCAUACAAUUCAGUCCUUACUUAAUUAACCCAUCAAUUAAACUAAUUUUCUCAAUUAAUACUUUUCCUAGACAUUAUGAGUUAUUUCAUAACUAUUGAAAUUCAGAAUUUCCACAUAAAACUCUAACUUCAAACUCUUUUACAAUUUAGGUCCGAAACGUUCACUUUCUAUUCAAUUCUUACAAUAAAAUCAGCAUAUAAACAAUUUAAAGCUCUAAUUCUAUAUCAAAUCAUCAUAUACUUCCAGCACAUAUUCAUAGAAACUUUCAAUUUCUUUCAUAGAAUCAAGAACUAAUGAAUUCAACAAAUGGACCUAGUUGUAAAAGUCACAAAAACACAAAAAUUUCAAGAAAUAAUCAAGAAUUGAACUUACUUGCAGUAAAAAUAUGAAAAACCAGCUUAAGGGAACUCUUCCAUGGUGUUUUUUCUGAUGAUAAUGCAGAAAAAUAAAAAGAAAUCUAGAUAACUCCACUUUAGUCCUAGCUUUAUUAAGUAAAUUUUGCAAUUUUCCAAUUUUUCCCUUAUUUGCUUGGUGAUUUCAUGCUCUUGCCGUCCAGCGCAAAUAGACCUUGGGUCUAUUUUCCUUUUAAACCCUCUUUCUUUUAUCAUUUAAGCUAUUUAAUCAUUUCCCACAAUUUUGCAUUUGAUACAAUUUAGUCCUUUUUGUUCAAUUAGCUAUCAGUACUUUAAAAUUUCUUGACGAAACUUUAAUACUAACUUAUUAACACUCCAUAAAUAUUUAUAAAAAUAUUUAUGGCUCGAUUUAAAAUUCCCGAGGUCUCGAUACCUCGUUUUCAAUUCUAAUUAUUUUAAUAAUAUAUUUUUUGUACAUUUCACUAUUUCAAAAUUUUUCCUAACUUCACAUUUAACUUAUACUCACUAAAUUAAUAAUAUUUCCUACUCAUUUGUCGGAUUUAGUGAUCUCGAAUCACUGUUCCGACACCACUGAAAAUUAAGCUAUUACAACUCUCCCCCCCUUUAGGGAUUUUCGUCCCCGAAAAUCUUACCAGAAGAAGUUGCUUUCAACACUCAUAAAACACCUUUACUAACUUCUCAGAAUCACAAUUUGAUUUAACCUCGAAUAUAUUUUUCCAUUCAUCUUUGAACUCUAGAACACAAUGUUGGAACAUACUGUCAAAAUUCUAAAUUACCCUCUCAGGGAUACAUAUACUCAGCUGAUCUGUCAAAUGAAAACUUUGUACCUACUGAAAUGAUCAUACAGAUCUUUCUUUGUCAAAUAAACAACCAUAAACUAAAUAACAUUUUCCUUUCCGAUGUUAAUGACAAUCCCAAUUCGAAAUCUAUAGUCAUUCUAUCUCAUAACACACUAGUAUUAUCAUUGACUGCAAUAAUCCUAAAUGUUCUUAAUGUUCUACUUACUUGCUAACAAAUAGACAUCUGAACAUGAACUCAAAGAUAUUAUGUAACGCUCGUACAAUCACUAGUACAUCUAACUCACGAGAAGAUAAUAAAGAUCUUGAUAAUUUCUCAAAAAAAGCGAGAAGAAAAACACUGCUUACCGACUCUGGACUUCCAUCAUAACAGAGAUAAUAUAUUUCCCGCAUGUAUAAAACAAAACCAUAAUCAGUAGAAACAUAAGAAUAGUCUCACAUAAAUUUUUACCAUUAACUUCAUUUCCAACAUAUUAAAAUAGAAUUCCAAGAAGAUGAAGAAAUGACGAUCAUAAACCGAUCAGACCAAUAGGGCUUUCGUCUAACAUCAUAAUUAACUAGAAUUCUCAAAACAUCAGAACUCCACCAGAGACUGAACAACCACACACACAUAUCUCUGAGGAUAAAAGAAUAUAUAGAAUACCUAGAAAAGAUAAUCAUAUUCGUUUCAACUGUAAUUAUCACACACAGACAUCUUUACUACUCAAUUAUCAUUUUUUUUACUAAUUCUGUCAUCAUGAACCCCGCAUCAUUCCAUUCACUAACGAAAACCAAUUCGGGAAAAAUUUCAGCAAACACAUACUUCAGACAUUGUAUCUGAAUAAGUCGACUAGCCGAGGUUAACUUUUUCUUUAACCGUGAUAUUACGUAAUCUGAAUGAUCUUUAGAAUAAUCUGAUAUCUUUUUUUUAUACUGUAUUCACUUGUCAAACUAUUUUCAACUCCGUCUGCAUUAUUAAUUAAUCCAUUACUGUACUCAUUAGUUUCACAUUUGUGAACUUAUUCAACUUUUUUUUUUUGUAAAUUUUCAUUAUAAAAUACUACAUUGGUAAGAGGGUGAGGUCGUAAAGCCUCUAACUGAGUUCUCAUAAAUACACACAUAUAACUUAGCAUUUAUCAUCAACAUCAUAUCAUCACAAUUACAUAAUUCACUUCAAACAAAUUAACAUACAUGAUUAUGUUACACGAACUUUUCAAUUAUCCAUUUCAAACUAGUGUACUUAAACAUACAUUCCAUGAAUUUUGAGUAAAUUUACUCAUAGCAUUUACUUAACCAAACAAGUCAGACACAUAAUAUCAUAUGAAUGCCACACAAAUAUAGAUAAGUUUAUCACAAUAUAAACUUUCAUUUCAUUCACGUUUCAUCAUUUCUCAACUUUUGAUUAUCUCAUUUCGUACAUUGUCACAUACAUAUCAUGAACUUCUAUUCUUACAUUUCUAAGUUCCUUCUCAUCAUAAACACAUUUCAAAUAUCUCAAUAUCACUAACUCAUACUUCUCUUACCAUAUACAUAAUUUAAAUUUAACAUUUAAUAAUAAAUAAUUUGAAUUAUAGUAAUAUAAUCGUACGUUGAAUAUGUUUGUACUCAGUGGUAUUACCAUAAUUCAAAUUAUAAAUACUAUAAUAAAUAAUAGACAUCAACCAUGUAACAUUAUAAGUCAUAUGUGUUAAUUAUCCUUUAAUUUCAUAUCUCGGCAAUAGUCUUUCAUCAAAUGACAUCAUAUAUCAUCUAUAUUAUCUUUAAUCAAUUCAUGAACCUUUGGUUCAAGCUUUCAAUCUCAUAUCUUUAUUUCAAUUCACAAUUCACAUUUCUUUUCAUAAUUCCACUUUUUCACACUUUCUAUAGUUUAAUCGAUUAAAUUCAUUCGAUUUUCUCAUUUCAUUUACUCAAACCUAUUAACAUAACUCGGACUCAGACGGAUACACGGAUCCAACCAAACACACCAGUAAGGCACAUUGUGCCUAAAACGGUACAUAGUACCUGAUCAGAAUACGACACAUAAGUGCCUGAAAUACGACACAUAAAGUGCCUGAUCAGUAAAGCCGACAAAUCCCGUACACUUCUAGUUCCUAUGGCAUGCCAAUUAUAUUCGACUAGUCCGAAAAGUUAAUAGGGAAUUCAAUUCUCAUUUCAAUUUCACUUAAUAUUCAUAUUUACCCCUAUUAACAAGACUCAGACUUUGGCGGAUACACGGAUUCCAUCCAAACACACCAAAAUGUCCAACCAAAACACACCAGUAUAAUCCUCCAAAACACACCAGUAUAAUAUAAUCCUCCCAAACACACCAGAAUAAUAUAAUCCAUCCAAAACACACCAGAAUAGCACAAAGUGCCUUUUCGGAUAAAUCCGAAGGACAUAAACAUCAGCAUAUCCAAAUCUCAUCUCCAAAUCCCUUCUCAAAAUCCUAUGGCAUGCCAACUAUAUCCGACUCAGUCCGGUACAAUUAAUAGGGUAUUCAAUUCACUUUCCAGCUUCCAAUCAAUACACAUUUCAAUUAAUCACAUAUUCAUAUCAAUUUCAUCACAUUCCCAAUCAAUAAAAUUUUCAAAUAUAACAUAUAUCCAAAAUUCUAUUUCCACAUCAAUCACAUAUAUCCAAACAAAUUUAAUUCAAUAUUGAUACUUACCUUAAAAUUUUACUUACUAUACACAUAAAUUUAAAUAUAACAUUUAUUCAUACCUUUAUGAGUUUCGACUCAUCAUAAUCUACUUUUGCUCACAUAUUUGAGUAUCGCUUUCAACAUUAUUGUAAUUAGCUCGGUUGGGAAAGUAUCUCUAUCUUUAAGUAAAAUAAAUCUCAUCAGAGCUGGAAGAUAUUAAAUUAUCUUAUCACAAGUUAUAUAAUGGCAUGUAUUUCUAGACUUCACAUAUGCUACGUUUGGUCCGAGAACUGACUAAAACUUAGCUCUGAUACCAAUAAAUGUAACGCUCCUAACCCAAAUCCGUCACCGGAAUAGAGUUACGGAGCAUUACCGGAGUUACCGAUUCAUUUAUCAGAUAUUUCAUUAAUCCGAUAUCUUUUCUUUUCCACGUUCAAGUCUCGUAUUCAAGUCAUCCGGAUCUUUAUAAAGAAAUUUGAUCAUCAUUUACAUUUAUUUCAUGUUAUAAUACAUUCAACUAAUGCUCUAAACAAAAUUAUCAUUUUACCCCUAAACUUUUAAUUAAUGACGAUUUCAUCCUUAGGUUAAAAUAAAAUAAAAUUAUUGCAAUUUAAUCCUUAUUUCCAGCCGUUAUUCUCACACAAAUUGAUAACAACCUAUGAAUUCUAUAAAAUGUCAGAAUUUUCCAUAAUUUCAACACUUUUCAAUUUAAUCCUUAAAAUAAGUUUUUCCCUGAUAUUGAGCUAAAUUAAUAAUUUCAUUAAAUUUUGUAAUUUAAAUAAUAAAAUAAUUCAUUUCAUGCAAAUUGGUCAUUUCUAACAUUUUUUUACAAAAUUGCCCUUAAAAUUUUACUUUUAUUCAAUUUAGUCCAUGAGCCUAAAACAUACAAAUUAGCCAUGCUAGCUGAAUAUUCAUACAUAUUUUCCUCCUCCUCCUCUCCAUUCCACAUCCUUAAUUUAUAUAACAUGCAACAAGUAACAUUAUCAAUAAUUUCACUAUUUACUUAUGUAUAUUCAAAACUGUCCAUUUGCAUCAUAGUCACUAAAUUAUUUAUAUCUUAAGCUACAGAACUCGAAAUUAAGACCCGCUAAUUUUCCUUGAAACUAGGCUUACUUAUCUUAUGACCAUAAAAUUUUCAGAAUUUUUGGUUUAGCCAAUAAGUAUAGUUUAUUCUUUAAAGUUGCCCCUGUUCUGCUGUCUGACAGUUCCGACCCUUCUUCACUAAGAAUUAAUUAUCUCAUCGUACGAGAUUCGGAUGAUGUUCCCGCUUAUUUAUAUUGAAAAUAGACUGUUUAAGGAUUUUAAACAUAUAAAUUUAAUUCCUUAAUUAUUUUUCUCCAAUUUUUGAUGAUUUUCCAAAGUUAGAAUAGGGGAACCCGAAAUCAUUCUGACAUUGUCUCACAAAACUUAUUAUAUCUCAUGAUUUACAAUUCCAUUGCUUACACCGUUUCUUCUAUAAGAAACUAGACUCAAUAAGCUUUAAUUUCAUAUUUUAUUCAUCCUCUAAUUAAAUUUAUACAAUUUUUGGAGAUUUUUCAAAGUUAUACUAUUGCUGCUGUCCAAAACUGUUUUAGUGCAAAAUGUUGAUUUUUAUUUUGCCCCAAAUUUCACAGUUCAUACAAUUCAGUCCUUACUUAAUUAACCCAUCAAUUAAACUAAUUUUCUCAAUUAAUACUUUUCCUAGACAUUAUAAGUUAUUUCAUAACUAUUGAAAUCCAGAAUUUCCACAUAAAACUCUAACUUCAAACUCUUUUACAAUUUAGGUCCCAAACAUUCACUUUCUAUUCAAUUCUUUCAAUAAAAUCAGCAUAUAAACAAUUUAAAGCUCUAAUUCUAUAUCAAAUCAUCAUAUACUUCCAGCACAUAUUCAUAGAAACUUUCAAUUUCUUUCAUAGAAUCAAGAACUAAUGAAUUCAACAAAUGGACCUAGUUGUAAAAGUCACAAAAACACAAAAAUUUCAAGAAAUAAUCAAGAAUUGAACUUACUUGCAGUAAAAAUAUGAAAAACCAGCUUAAGGGAACUCUUCCAUGGUGUUUUUUCUGAUGAUAAUGCAGAAAAAUAAAAAGAAAUCUAGAUAACUCCACUUUAGUCCUAGCUUUAUUAAGUAAAUUUUGCAAUUUUCCAAUUUUUCCCUUAUUUGCUUGGUGAUUUCAUGCUCUUGCCGUCCAGCGCAAAUAGACCUUGGGUCUAUUUUCCUUUUAAACCCUCUUUCUUUUAUCAUUUAAGCUAUUUAAUCAUUUCCCACAAUUUUGCAUUUGAUACAAUUUAGUCCUUUUUGUUCAAUUAGCUAUCAGUACUUUAAAAUUUCUUGACGAAACUUUAAUACUAACUUAUUAACACUCCAUAAAUAUUUAUAAAAAUAUUUAUGGCUCGAUUUAAAAUUCCCGAGGUCUCGAUACCUCGUUUUCAAUUCUAAUUAUUUUAAUAUAUAUAUUUUUUGUACAUUUCACUAUUUCAAAAUUUUUCCUAACUUCACAUUUAACUUAUACUCACUAAAUUAAUAAUAUUUCCUACUCAUUUGUCGGAUUUAGUGAUCUCGAAUCACUGUUCCGACACCACUGGAAAUUAGGUUGUUACAAUUUCUUCCGUAGUUUCCUUUCUCAGCAUCCUCCGUUUAGGGUGAAUAAUCCCUCCUGAUACAAAAGUUCUAGAUAUGUGGGGGAAUAUCAUUGGUUCCCAUUUGAUUUUCUCCCCGUUCAACCUUGCUCUCAUCAUCUCUUGCUUCUUUUCCAGCUCUUUCUUUAUUUGUCUCGCGUCUAGCUUGAAUCCUAAUCCGAAGCGGUCUUGUUUAUCCUUUAUUAUCAAUGCCUCGACCCUUCAUUGGAGGUAUCUCCUGAGUCCUCUUCCUGGUAAGGCUCCAUUCCCAACAGUCAGUUGUAGGCUCAUUCUCGUUGUCUUGGAUAUCUUAGGCAUUGGGAUCCUGUUCCCUUCGAUGAUGAAUGUUGUGUUCACAAAUUCCAAAUAUCGAAAGGGACAUUCGAUCGCUUCAUCACUUGCCUUUAGAUACGGCGUGUCACUGGUCACCGCUGUAAUGAUGUCUUCUUCUACAUUUAUUGUCACCAGCCGACCUUCCGUUACUAACUUCAACUUUUGGUGUAGUGAUGAAGGCACUACCCCUGCUAAAUGUAUCCAAGGCCUACCCAAUAGGCAAUUAUAAGAAGGUUUAAUGUCCAUUACCAAGAAUUCUACCUCGUACGUUUUUGGGCCAAUCAGAAGGGGUAUUUCGAUUCUUCCUAUUACCCUCCUUUCGAUGCCGUCGAAUGCCCUCACUAUGUUUUGGCGUGUCUUCAUAUGAGAGCUAUCCACAGUCAACCUAUUUAGUGUGGAUAAGGGUAAGACAUUCACGACCGAUUCGUUAUUAAUCAACACCCCUAGUAGUGUAUACCCCUUGCAGCGGGUAGUGACAUGCAGAGCUUUGGUCGAUCCCGUUCCUCCGGGUCGUAUUUCAUCAUCAUUAAAGAAGAUGAAGUUAUCAACGCUUAUGUUGCUAACCAGGCGGUCUAGUUUUUUGAUGGAAAUAUCGUUAGCGACAUAUGUUUCAUUUAAUACUUUCAUCAGUGCCCUACGAUGGACCUCCGAGCUUAGGAGUAAGGCUAACACCGAGAUGCGAGCUAGUUCUUUAUGCAGCUGUUCCACAACACUGUACUAUCUGUGCUUUAAAAAUUUUAAGAAUUCCUUAGCCUCCUCCUCAUUGACCGGCUCAUUAACAGGAGAUUCAGGUCUGGCCAUUUUUUCUUUCUUCUGUUUGACAGCCAAGGCUUUUCCUUUUAUGGGUUCCGUUCUUGCAUUUGCUGAAUCGUAGCGCCUCCCGCUAUGCGUGUAAAAACCUACAGCUUAGUCCUCCCUUGAAACGUCAGCCGGGUUUUACUUUCUCGAGAUUGUUACAUUACAGUCGUAAUUCCAGGGAACCCUCUUGCUGUCUUUAUAGGGAAAGACUGCAGGAUUCUGGAUUAUGACUUUUUGUUCCAUUUCCAUUCCCGCUUCAUUGUUUUUGGGUCGUGAAAUGAUAGCCACUAGGUAGUUGACUUUUUAAAUUUUCACCAUCAAUUCUCCUUCCGACGCGUAUAUACUUCCCUCUUCAGGGCUUUUAAUCUCUUCAUAAAAUUCCAUUUCCUUAUUGUCCAUCAUGCCUUGCACUAAGGCCCUGAACUCGGUACAUUCUUGGAUCUUGUGCCCUUCUCUAUUAUAGAACUCACAGUAGUUCCUCUUUCCUUUAGAUCUUUUCUCUAAAUCCAGUACGAUCAAUCCUCUUUUUACCAUCUCUUUUCAGACCCGUCUCAAUGGGUUUUAACCCGUCUCAAUGGGUUUUAACUUCUGCAACCUCACAUUUGAUUUUCUUACUCCCACAUUCAUUUAUCCUGUUUACCCCUUGGUCAGCAUGGUUGGGUAGUAAGUUUCCUGCUACAUUUGGUGUGAAUGAGUCGUCAAACUUUAUAAUCUCCAUUUUUAUAAAUCUUUCGACUAACAUUUUGAAUGCGGUGCAGUUCUCGAUUGAAUGCCCAGUAAUUCCCGCGUGGUAUUCACGUUGAGCGUUUGCGUCAUACCAUUUGGGAAACGAGAGUUGCAUCAGCUUUAAGUAGAAAGGGGACACCACGUAUGCAUCAAAUAGGUUUUGAUAUAGCUUCCUAUAUGUCAUGGAUAUAGGUGUGAAUUAUAGCCUUUCUGUAUUCGUUCUUAUAUUAGAUUCUUGUCUCGGGGGGCCUUGAUGGUUGGUGGUUACUGUCUUCGGCUAGCUCAAAGUAAUUAACUUGGAAUAACCCUUGCUAUAUGUAUUCAUGUUAUUCACCUCAUUCUUUCUCUUUCUUGGGGCGGAUCUCUUGGUACUUUCCCACGCAUCUAUCUCACCGCUUCUCACUGUAUUUUCAAUCAUUUCACUGGUCAUCACUAUGUCCGAAGCUUUUAGUGGCACUUCCCAACAUAUGGGUGAUGAAUGGAGCUUUUAAAGUGCUGAUAAAAUACAUUGUGGUUUCUUUUUCUAGGAGAGGUAGCUAGACUUGUAUGGCAACUUCCCUCCAUCUUUGGGUAUAUUGUCUGAAGCUCUCAUUUUGUUUCUUCUCUAUGUUUUGUAAAGUGAUUCUAUCAGGGGUCAUAUCCAACACGCGACUAUACGGCUUUAUGAAAGCUUAUGCUAGAUCCUUCUAUGAAUUGAUCUUGGUACGACUCAAUUGGUUGUACCAUUUAGAUGCUGCCCCAACCAGAGUUUCUUGGAAAUAGUGAAUCAUUAGUUGGUCAUUAUUGACAUAUCCUGCCAUUUGUCUACAGAACAUGGUAAUGUAAGCUUUAGGACAGCUAGUCCCCUUGUACUUCUCAAAUUCUGGAGUUUUGAACUUAGGGGGAAGCAUUAGGUCCGGAACCAAGCUCAAACCCUUAGUAUCGAUUCCACCAUGAUAGUCGGCGUUUUUUAUUUCUUUAAAUUUUUCUUCUAACCAUCUACACUAGUCUUCAAGUUGUUUCGGGAGCUCUACCAUUGCCUUUUCUAUUUCUAUCACAUCAUCGAGAUUGGGGACAAUGGGGUUAGUUGGGUUAUCCCCUGGAUUAGAGCCUAAGCCGACUUGGUAGUUCAUCGGUGUUGAAACACCGGCAUGAAACUAUUAGGGCCUGAUUGUAACAGAUGGCCUUCAUGGGUACAUCUCAGGUUGUAUCUGAGCAUUUUUUGGGGUAAAACCUAGGGGGUAAAAAGGAUCUUCAUUUUCAUCUCUACGAAUGACCACAGGGUUCUUUCCUUUUUCUAGCCCGCCAGUUAGUAGUUGUGUUAAUUGGUUCAUCAUAUUCCUCUGGGAUUUUAGCAUCUGAUCCCUCACAUCUUACUAGAUUUUGGCCAACUGUUCUUGCAUUUGUGUUUGUAGUUGCUCUUACAUUUCUUUUUGGAGUUGUUCUAUCCUUUCAAAUCUUUGAUCCAUAACUUUUGUCUUGGCGCGAGUACCGCAACAAUGUUUAGUUGGCAGAUUCUUGUCGAUUUCUAGAUUAACUGAAAUAGUUUUUUAACUAAUUAGGGUCCUUUUGUGACAUUUAAUGCAUAUGAUGCGAUGAAAUGCAAAUGCAUGGGAUGAAUGCAAAAAAAGACAUCGACUCUGAAUCAAUUCCAUUUAGAAUAACUUUACUAGAAAACAAAGUUCUUUACAGAAAACAGAUUACAUGUAUGGCUUAGCCCUGAUACUCAAAGUUUUAACUUUCCUAAGCAACCAAGCUAGCUCUUGGCCCCGAUCUAAUUCUAAUUCAUAUUUUAACACUUAGUACAUUAGCCUGAACUGCUAGAGUUUGUAGAUGGUUGGCAACCUCUCGUAUCUGAGCUACGACUUCAUCCAUAAUGUAAUCUCUGUUUCUAACUUGAUCUUGAGAAUGAUGGAGUUGCUCUUUCCAACGCUCCUCAUUUGCUUCAAGAAGUUCAACCCGGAGUUUGCAGUUUUGUAACACAAUCUCAAGCUCUUUUACCUUCCUUUUCAGCUCUUCAAUCUUGUUCAAGCUCGCCUUCAGCUCAAUUGUAGAGUUUUGACUAUGAUACUGAUGGAGCGACCUUUCCAAUUCUGCCACUCUAGCCUUUAACUCGACUUUUUCAUUUUAUAUUUCUGAUAAACUCUUUUCUAGGGCCUUUUUCCUAACCUAAGCAUCUUGGAUUUUUCUUCCCAUCGAUCGGUAUUAGCUUUCUCCUCCUGGAUCUCUUGUCGCCACUGCUCUGACGUCCUCCCCAAUCCUAUGGUCCUCAUCGAUAAGUGCAACUUUUUGUAAUCCGUUUUCAAGCUAUCUAAAUCUUUUUCAGCCUUAUUCUUUCCCUUUCUUAAUUUCUCGGCUUCUAGAUUCUGAACAUCAGCAUCUAAUCUCAAAUGCAUUUUUUCCUCCUCCAAUUGUUUUAUUUUCUUUCCUAAUUCCGAGUUUUUCCUUUUAAAAUCUUGCUUUAUGAUUUCUAGCUCGGAAGGCACUACUUGCAAGAAUUCCUUCAUCGAUUGAGCACCAUCUUGACUUAGCUAGGGGAUGUUAUCAUUGAUUCUUCUACUCCACCACCCACUAUAUUCGGCGACUAUUAUCGGACCUAUUACAACUCGUUUCAUCCGACAGGUCUGAUUCCUAACGUUAGACAUUUCGCGAACCUUUUUCUUAUAGUUGUCACCCUUAUAUGUGAACUCACACUGAGCUAACCCCCGUGUUGCUGGUAUGAACUGUCUCGAUCUGUACUACCUCAACAUGAGCAAAAGAGCAUAUCUAACGGCUCUCAAAAUCCCAAGUAGCAAGACCCAAUCAAAAUCUCCAAACUGGUACAAAAUCUCAUCAGGAACCAUCCAAAAGGCUCUCCACUCGACAUCCUCUUCUUGGAGAUUUUAGAGGAUCAUUAUCCAUCUUUCCUCUCGUAUGUCAUCCAGUCUCUGUGUAGCCAUUAUUUCCUUUAAUGGGGAAUAAUUCUCAGAGAACACCUGAUACGAAACUUUGUCUAUUUUCCAGAAAUAGCUAUAGAACCAAGCUAGCAAUAGUUGCGCGCACCCGAUGAAUCUUCCCUCACCUACUCUCUAGCAAGCGUUCAAAGAUCUGAAUGUUUCAGCUAAAAUCGUGAGAACCGAUGUGACCCUCUUAUCAAGUCAUUCAAACAAAUCAGAAACCGUCUCAUCUACGUGCCCCAGUGCCUUAGGAAAAACAAUCAGCCUAUAGAUGCUUAAAGCAAAAACAUCAACCAUCAUCUUCAUAUAUGGGUGUGCCAAAAUCAGGUCUCAUAAACUUUUCCAGGGGAUACAUUUGCUUUCUCCUUUCUACUUGAUCUGAGCCACAACCCACUAUUCACUCAUUCUUGUAAUAUUCAUUAACUUUUUCACAAAAGUCGGAACAUUGGUGGCUCUAGAAUAAGCCUUGUCAACUUAAAUCCUUGGGCAACGAAGUAGGGUUGUAUACUCUUCUAUUAUAGGUACCAAGUCCACAUUCCUGAAAGUAAAACAACUGUAGGCAGGGUUCCAGAAUUGAGCCAGAGCUCGAAACAAAUGCUUGUCCACCUUGAUGUCGAAUAGAUGGGGCAGGUCACCAUAAAUACCAUAAAAUAGCUGCUUGAUUUCAUCGUCCCAAUGGACCCAUAUCUCUUUUUAUUCCCGAAGAUCAUUCUGUGUCACGCUGAUACAUGUGAAGUCCUAUAACUCUAAUGUGUAUCCCUCUGCCAAACUAUCUCCUUUUUCUCACUGUGUUUUCUACGACCAUAUACGGACAGUGGCAUUAUCCUCCACUUUAUCAAGAAAUACGUUCUCCAUGGCAAGCUUUCUAUUUAGUAAUCGAAUGUGAAUCAACACUUUUUUUAUGAUGAAAAUGUCAUGCAAUCACAAGCAAAACAACAACAUAAGUCAGUACAAUUUAUACGAAAUUAAAGUCAAUAGGAAAUAACAAGCAAAGCACCUAUUCGGAUGACCACUGAUGGUUUGGUGCGACUCUACUAAAGUGGGCUCUUACGGCUCACUAUAUGUGGUUCGGUUCUAAAGAAAUGGUACUUGAACCAGCAGAUUCCUCGAUCUUCACCCAUUAUAGGUUCAUACAGAUCGAGUUCAAUUCAGGGGAAUACAUUUCCCUAUGGCUAUACGGAAAUGAAAAUCUUACGAAGACAUAGGUACGGAUGUAUCCCGGAAGCGAUCCACUAUUCUGUACGGAGGAGAGAACCUCAAGAAGGAAUAGUUUCUCACUCCCACUUAAAAUGGUAAGAUCGAACGGACAUGCAAUGCAAUAUGCAAAAAUAUUCCAAGACUCGAACCGAUGAAGAGAAAAUCACCAAAAAUGACAAAUGAAAUGCAAUGAAAGAAUCGUAAUUUUAAAUCGAAUUAUCAAUUUUUGACCAAUAAGACAAGAACUAAUCAAAUCGUGGCUUGACUCUCUUAUUCGGUCCCCAGUGGAGUCGCCAAGCUGUCGAAACCCCCUUUUUUUGAAAAAACGUCGACUUUUAUUUUGAAAACGAUAACGAGAGUCGCCACCAAUCUUUUUUUAUAAGGUGUGAUCGGGUCACCUUGUAAUUGAUCAUUUUAAUAAAACGUUUUGAUUUAGUAAAACAACAAUUUUGGCCUUCGUAAUUCGAGAAAAUGGGUUCAGGAGUCGAUUACGUACGAGGAAGGAUUAGCAACCUUGUAACGUCCAAAAUUGGUACCUAAUGGAUUAAUUGAUGUCUUAACGUCAAAAGUUGAAAAUUCGAAAAUUUUAAAAUAUGAUCCCUCUUUGUAUUAAUGCUAAUUUUUACGAAAAAAUUGCUUGAAUAAAUCGAAACGACCAUUAAAGACCUUCUCGCCUUGAAGCAACAAAAUGCCAUAUCCUGUAAGUUAGGAUACGACACCUUAAACCUUUGAGAACAAGCUGGUCUUUAUUUUUUUUAAUCUUUGAAAUCUUACGUGUUUUAAUCUAGAAGGAUAUUCGGUUAUUUAGAUAUAACGAGAAAAAUCAAAACCUUGUAAGUUAGGGCACGACUUUCUCGAGUUUCUAAAUACGAAAUAUUGCCUUUAGUUUAUUUUAAAAUUCGUGUAUUUUAAAACUCGAAAGAGUUUGACUAUUUAGGUUCAAUAAGAAAAAUCGAAACCCCAUAAGUUAGAGUACAAUUUUCUUGAAUCUCCAAAAUGCGAAAUGUUACUUAUUUUUUUAAAAAUUCUUUUUUUGAAUUUUGGUGAAAAUUAAUGCAAUAUUUGAAAAGGUACAUGAAUAAAAUAUUAUGCUAUCAAAUGACAACAAUAUGAGUGUACUAAUAAACGAUUCAUAAGAUACAAUGACAAUAAUCGCGUAACAUACAUCAAUUUAACACCAACAUUAAUAAUCAAAAUAAAAUGACAAACAAAAUAAACAUUAACAUUGAUAACAAUCAUAAUAAUAAUGACAAAGCAGUACACUAAAAAAGGAAAAAUACUAAUAAAUAUAAAUAAGAUAGAGAAACAAAUAAAUAAGUACAUAAAUAAAUAUAGGAGAAUGGUUUGUAAAAAUCUUGAAAAUAAAUAAUCAAAGUAGAAUAUAAAUAAAAUUAAAGCUACCAUUUGUAACAAAACCUAUGUAAAUAAAUAAUAAUAGAUAAAAUAAUAAUAAUGAUAGUAAUAAUAAAUAAUAUAUAUAAGUAAAAGGAAAAUAAGUAAAUGAAUUUUAAUCAUAAAAGGUUUGAAGAAAUAAAUAAAUAAACAAAUAAAAUAUUAAAUGACUUUAGGUAUAUAAAAAAAAUAAUAGAUAUAAAAAUAAAAAUAAUAUUAACUAAAAUGAAGAAUAAUAGAAAAAUUAAUGAAAAAAUAAUAAAAUACAUUAAUCAGAGGACUAUAUUGAAAUCAGAAUAAAAUCAGAGGCAAAAGUCAUGAUAAAUUUAAAAAUGACAGCAAAAUAGGAGCAAAAUAAAACAUGCAAAAAAGGGUAAGGGCCAAAUGGGAAAAUAUCCCAAUAUUCGGACGUGCGUCAUUUGUCCAAAAGAUCAGCGUGCCAAGGACCUAACUGAAUCACGCAAAAAAAAAGUAGUCAAAUUUGUAAAAAUAAAAAAGGUAAGAGGACCAGAUUGUUACACACCGCAAAAGCGGAAGGAUCAAAAGGGUAAAUAACCCUUUUUAACAAAAACACGCGGAUCCUUAGGUACUAGGUUGGGUCGCACACAAGUCAUGUGAAACGGUUCCGUUUUAGGCGUCUGAGGCUUUUUCCAAAACAACGCCAUAUAGGGGUACUAUAUAAGUUAAAAUUCUGCCAAAAAAAUCAUUUUCCCCUUACCUUUAAAAAAAAGCUUUAAAACCCUUCAAAAAAGUUCUCCCCUUCCCCGAUUUCCGGCCAUCGGUCCGGCCUUGCUCUGGUCACCUUUCUGGCAUCGUCUGCCACCAUCGACCACCGCGCACGGCAGCUGGAGCUCAAAAAAGAAGCCUUUUUGGCCGAUUCGGCCUUCUCAACCCCGUUUCCAAACCAAAAACCUUAAAAAAAACUGCUAACAGUAAAAACAAGGGAAAUGCCUCGGUUCUCCCCUUUUCUGAUAAAAAAAGGUAAAAACUUUCCAUUUUCGAUGUAUAUCUAUAUUUAAAAUAAACAUGCGAAGUAAAACAGAAAUAAUAAUACCUAAAAAUCUCAAUUUUCGAUCUUUUUGUGUAUUUGAUGCUCUAUUUUUUUGUAUUCGAAAUAUGUUGUUUUCUUUUUUUUUUAUAUUGAUUUCGUGUGUGUAAAAAAAUACAUAAUAAAUCUUGUAUCCUUUUAUAACCGAAUACAUUUCGUUUGUUUUGCUCUUUUUUUAAGAUGAUUUCUCUGUGUCUGCUGUGUUUGUCUUCUUCGCAGGUAUGGAGGUACGAAGGCGACGUGGAGUGUACGGAGGCUGUACGUGCGAGUGUCAACGUGGCGUUGGAGGCUGGGGGCUAUUGGUUGCAGCACGAAAGGAAAACCCUAGGUUUUCUGAAUGUUUGAUUUUUGGGCCAUUUGGGCUUGUUUUUUAAUUGGGCCAUCGGGCUUUGUAAUUGUAAAAUUGGGCCUGUAAAUUGGAUUGAUAGACUGUUAAUUAUUUUGGUUUUGCUUAUUUUUAUUUUUGUAUCUGAUUUCUGUUUGGGCUAAUUGGUUUGGGCCUUUUUAUUUGUUUGGAAUUUGGGCCCGAGCUAAAUUGGCCUAUUACAUAUGUAAUAUUUAAUAAAGUCGACAAAUAGAAAUUUAUAUAAGUUAUAUAUAUAAAAUUGAGAGGUCACUCUCAAUGUCAUUCAAAUGUUAUUCAACAGUUUGUGUCAGACGAUGUCAUUGCUUAUUGAUUGGUGUAGGGAUUUUGGUUAAAAAAAACUGAAAGUUUUAUCUUAUUCUAAAGAAAUUAUCGUUAAGAGGCCACAAGAAAAAGCCUAAAAAUAUUUUUCGUAAUGCUCUGGAUAAUUUAUUUAUAUGUUUGUAAAUGUUUGAUAAAUGAGUAUCUACUUCAGUGGUUAAGUGCUCUAGAUGCGUGUAUGAGGUUUUGGGUUCAAGUCCUACCUUUAGUAAAUUUUGGUUAUUUUUAGAUCCAAGCCUUACCCUUGUUGUGUGGGCUUAAAAAAAAUUGUCUGUUAAUUUAUAUCAAAAUGAGCUUGCUAGUUUGAGUGAUAAGGAAUUAACUUGUUGGAGGUCCUAUGUUCGAAACCUUUCGUGAGCACGGAAGUUAAUUGUUGCUCAGUUGUGUGUUAGAGUUUUGGUGGAGUUGAGAUUCUGAGUAAGUUGUUUGUUAGUGGGUUAGUAGGGAGAAAUUUGGGGGAUUUGAGUAUAUUCAUAUUAUUUUUUCUUUUUGAUAUUUUUCUCUCUCUAGAAAACUCCCAAAUUUUUUACGUUUAUUUUCUAUAUUCUGGAAAAAUUCUUUUUGUUUCCUUGCUUUUGAAAUUUCAUUUAAAUUCUGUUUUUCAAUUUCGGUUUUUAGUUCUUCGGUGUCUUUGCGCAGUUUGGAAAGUGUAAGGGGUGUUUUCGUGUGGGUUGGGGAAAUCGUUUUAACUGUUCAAAUCAAUGCUAUUCUUUUCUUUCUGUUGUUGAUUUCGAGUUUUGGUAGCAGUGAAUCGAGAAGAAAGGGGCUCUUCUCUCACGGAAUCGUAGUCGAAAUCAUUUAGGGUGUUGGGGGUAAGUGAUGGAUGUUUGAAUGGAACUGUUGCUGGUUUCAUAGUUUCGGUUUAGUAGUGAAUUAAGACUGAUUUUGAGUAUUGGUAUGCCAUUUUUUUUAGGUUUUGGAGGGCUCGUGUUUGCAGUAGUAUUAAAAUUGUACCAGGUUUGUACUCAAAACGUGAAAAAUGAGGUUUCGACGAAGACCAAAAAUGCUUAUUGUCGACGCUACACGGGCGUGUGGUCACCUGAGUGGUUGGCUGUGUGCGAAACACGGUCAUGUGAUCGACGAAGGCAUGGCCAUGCGCAAGACACGGCCGUGUGGUGGCAUGAGUGCGACCAUGUGAGCCACAUGGGCUAAGCCAGGUUGGGCAUGCGGGUUUUAGGCCAGGCUAUGUGGGCCACACGUGCAAGGCCAAUUUGGGCAUGUGGGCCCACACAAGUAAGCCAAUGGACAUGUGGGCCCAGAAUUCUAUAAUUCUCCCUAAAGUCGUACGGGUCGUUCCGAUCAACUGUGGGUCUACCGUAGGGUCGGUAAGUGCUACCCAAACCCUAAAAUUAUAUGAUCUGAUAGUCUGAUGUUCUGCUCUGAGUAUGACAUUCCUAUAUAUGUCUGAUUAGUUUGAUAUAUGUAUAUAUUUGAUAUGUAUAUAUGAGCAUGUAAGCAUGGUAAUUUUGAUUUUGUAUAUCUGAUUGGGGUGGGAUAUAUAUAUGGAGGAACUGUUCUGUAUGACGACCAUCACCUAUAUUCUGGCAGCUUGGUUGCACAUUAUCUGAUAUGUGUCAUAAUGAUACGAUAUGGUGUGUAGGUAUAGGUAGGUGUUUUUAACCCUACAUGGUGUGUUGGAAUGGUCGCAGUUGGUGUGUAGAGGAUGGGGGUAGAUUCUGUAUAUCUGUUCUGCAUAUUUGUUUCUGUUAUCUGAAUCUGAAAAGGACUUAGGUCUGAAUUUGAAUCUGAAUUCUAUUGUGUCUGUGAUUUUUGUAUGCAUAACAUGUCUAUUUUUUUGGGUUACACAUUGAGUUUACAAAAACUCACAUCCGUUUGUCUGUUCUAUUCAGGUAAUCCACAGACUUAGACGGGUUGGUGCGACGAAGGCUCAACGGUGACCACUUGAUCGAGAAUUGUUUUAAUUUAGUAAUUUAUGGUUUUUAUUUAUAAUUCUGGUUUUUAAGAGUUUGUAAUUUUGGGACUCUUCGGACUGUUGGUUUUUAUUUUUGUUUUGGAUGUGUUUUUGAUGUUUUAAUUGCAAUGCCUGUCUGAAAUCACAGUUUUACGAAAACAAAGGUUUUCUAAAAACACGAAUUGCAUUCUUAAAGUAUAAUGGUUUUAAGACUUCUGCUGUAAAUUAUGUUUUGGCAAAUGGACUAAUUAAAUGACGUUAUUAAUAAUAAUUAUAAAUGAAUAUGAGUUAUAAAAGUUGAAUGGUUUAUCGAAACAACUCAGUUUCCAAAACCCAUUCUUUGUGACGUCUCCAGAUUCGGCCUUUACAUCUAGGCCGAAUUUGGGAUGUUACAUUUGUAUAAAAAAUCUUCCAAUUUUCUUCCUCUCCGCUUUGUUAUAAAUUACUUAUUGAUUAUUAGGAAAAAUAAGAUUUUACGAAAACUAGGAGAAGACUGAAUGCAAUGGAAAGAAUAUAAUUAGAUGAAGCAAUGCGAUAAGGGCAAGCAGAGAUAUGGCGUUACAUGUUCAGCUUCGCAGAUUCCAUAACGCUUAAGUCUGCCGUAGAGUUUCGCAUAGCUAACAUAAUACACUCUCAUGGUGGCCCCAUAACUUUGUCGCAAAUAGCUUCAUGUAUUACUGACGGCCUUACUUCUCCUGACAUCACCACCAUUGCUCGCAUAAUGAGAUUGCUCAUUCAAAGAAAGAUUUUCAUCAUCCACCAUCCUUUAGAUGGUAGAGAUUUCUUGUUCGACCUAAGUAACUCAUCGAGAUGGCUUCUACAUGAUUCGGAGCAAACCUUGACGCCCAUAGUACUAAUGGAGAACCAUCCAUGGCAAAUAGCUCCUUGGCACUACUUCAGCCAAUGCGUGAAAGAAGGUGGAAUUGCCUUCAAGAAAGCUUAUGGAUAUGAGAUAUGGGAUUUAGCAUCAGGGAAUCCUUAUUUCAACAAGCUUUUUAACGAUGGCAUAGCUUGUACAUCCAAGGUUUGUCACUAGUGUAAUCCUAUCAAGUUACAACCAGGGUUGAGCUCUAUUAGAUCGUUGGUUGAUGUCGGAGGCAGGAUUGGAGGCUUAAUAUCAGAUAUCGUCAAAGCAUAUCCACACAUCAAAGGUGUUAACUUUGAUUUACCGCAUGGCGUCUCAACGACACCAACAUACAAUGGGGUCUCCUAUAUUGGUGGUGACAUGUUUCAUGCCAUUCCAAAUGGUGAUGCAGUCAUUAUGAAGGUACUUCCUUAAAUCAUGAAUUUAAAUUCAUUUUUCAUGGAGUAUAGCAUUAAGAAAAUUUUUACUAAUAUUGUAACUACCACGAUUAUUGUUUUUUUCUCUUGUAAUUGUGAGAGUGAAAAUACACGAUUCAAGGUAUAAAAAUCAAAGCAGUCCAAUUCUGGUAAAAAUACCAUAGAGAUUUUUGUAUUAUAGACUACAUAAUUUUUUAUCUCUAUCCAUUUAAAAAAGGCUUUACUUGAAUAUUACCCUCAACACAAGUAAAAAUAAACUUAGACCAUAAAAUAGUAAAAGAUUUUUAUAAUAAUUGAAAUGGUUUGUUAAUCUUAUAAGGUGAAGAUAAUUAAAAUGGUCUUUUUUCUUUGAACAAUUUCAUUAUAGGUUUUGAUUAUAUCUGCUCAUAUUAAUUGUUGAUUAAUGAACUUCAUAAUUAAUUAUGUGGAAGAAUUUAAAAUUAAAGGUGCAUAAAAAUAAUAAUGUAUGCACUAGUUAUACAUCUUUUUAAUUUUUGUUGAUUUGAUUCUCACUUUCCUUUUUUAAUAUAAUUCUCACUUCCUUUAUUUGAUAUAUGAAUUCUAUUGUAAGUUUACAACAAUUAUCUUUCUAUAAAAGUAUGUUGUUAUAGGUAUAUAACAACCACCUCUUUAUAACAAGUAAAAUCUUGACAGAAAAAUAGGGUUGUUAUAGAGAAGGUUUACUAUAGUAUAGAUAUCGAUAUGUUUGGUUCAAACUGAUGUUUAAAUAAGGUUUACUAUAGUAUAGAUAUCGAUAUGUUUGGUUCAAACUGAUGUUUAAACUAAUUAAAUUUUCAAACUGAAAAAACCUAUUUGUAUUGACUAUCUUAAUAAGGAAAAAGUACCAUAAAUGUCCCUAUAAUAGGAGUCAGUAGAGGUGAUCAUGGGCCGGGCCGGGCUGGGUCUGGACAAAAUUUUAGGCCCAUAUAUUAGGCCCAGCCCAGGUCCGGCCCCAAAUAUGGGCCUAAAAAUUUGUCCAAGCCUGGCCCGAAAUAAAAUUGUUAAGCCCGAGCCCGGCCCGGCCCAUAUUAAAUUUUUUUUCUUAUUUCAUUAAAUAAAAAAAAUUAAAAAUAUAAUAAAUCAAAUAUAUUUAAAAACAUAAAAAUAAAUAUUAAAACAAAUAAAAAUAAUACUAAAACAAUUCUUAAAACAAUACACAAAUUAACAAUAUAAUAAAAAAAUGGUUAUAUUAAAAAUUUAAAAUGAUUAAAAAUAAAAUAAAAAAUAAAUUAAUAUAUAAUUCGGGCCGGGCCGGGUCGGGCCCGAGACAAAAAACUCUUACCCGAGGCCUGGCCCGUUUUCUAAACGGGCCUCUUUUUUUACCCAAGCCCAUUUUUCGGGCCUAUAUUUUUACCCAAAGCCUCCCAUUUUUCAAGCGGGCCUUCGGGCAGGGCCGGGCCGCCCGGCCCAUGAUCAGCUCUAGGAGUCAGAUUGUAUUUUUUCCUCUCUACUCACAAAAUAGACAAAUUAGUCACUGUAUAUUGAUUAAAGAGCAAAUUGGUUAUUUGUUAAAAAUUUUAUCUAUUUUUAUUGCUCAAAAUUGGUCACUGUAUAUCAACAUUAUAUACACAUGGCACAUAACGUGUCACUGUCUAGUUAUUCUAUCAAGUAUGUCAGUUUUUAGUACAUAAAAAAUUGGAAUUAAAAUAGAAGCUAAAUUGAAUUCUUCUACCUAAAAAAUUGUUAUCAAUUUAUUUUUAAGGGCCAAUUCAAAAUUUUAUGUCCAAAGGCCAAUCUUUUAUGGUUUCUGAACCCUAAUUUCUGUAUGGCCUCUAGUGUGAACGCAGAAGGAAAAGUCAAAUUUCUCAACCAAUCACGUUUUAGCAAUAUAAUUAGUCAAAAAUGUGAAAUGCUUUAUGAAAUACAUGAAUUUAUGAAAUAUUUUAAUCCUUUUUAUAAGAAUAAAAAAUAGUAAUAGCCAAAUCUCGUCAGCCGGCACUUUGAUAAUACGGCAACAAACCUUAUCCUCUCUAUGGUUCUGUUAUUAUAUUGUAUUCCUCUUAUUUUAUUUUAUUUUUUCUCCCUAAACAAGGCUUCUUCUUAUGUUUUAUGUUUGGACUAUCCAAAUGUUAUUCAACAGUUUGUGUUGGAAGACGUCAUUGCUUAUUGAUUGAUGUUUUUUCUUAUAGGGAUUUUGAUUAAAAAAACUGAAAGUUUUAUCUUAUUCUAAAGACAUUCAUUAAGAGGUGACGAGAAAAAGAAUUAAAAAUAUUUGUAUAAAAGAAAUCCUCACUCACAAUUCUCUUCCUCUCCGCUUUACUAUAAAUUACUUCUUGAUUAUUAGGAAAAAUAAGAUCCCACGAAAACUAGGAGAAAGGCCGAAUGCAAUGGAAAGAACAGAAUUAGAUGAAGCAAGGCUACAAGGGCAAGCAGAGAUAUGGCGUUACAUGUUCAGCUUUGCAGAUUCUAUGGCGCUUAAGUCUGCCGUGGAGCUCCGCAUAGCUGACAUAAUAUACUCUUAUGGUGGUGCCGCCACUUUGUCGCAAAUAGCUUCAUGCAUUAAUGAUGGCCUUACUUCGCCAGAUAUCACCACCCUUGCUCGCAUAAUGAGAUUGCUUGUUCGCAGAAAGAUUUUCACUAUCCACCAUCCUUCAGACCGUAGAGAUUCCUUGUAC